Pungitius pungitius (ninespine stickleback) is the source of this 432-nucleotide long non-coding RNA. RefSeq lists it as uncharacterized. NCBI's taxonomy places the organism in Eukaryota, Metazoa, Chordata, Actinopteri, Perciformes, Gasterosteidae. The transcript is spliced from 4 exons. The record is from RefSeq and is a predicted model, not a curated record.
CGGACACUCUCCGUCAGUCUAGCCGGGAAAGAGCACGGAAGAGACGGCGCACCUUUACCGGACCUCGCGCUGUGUGGAAGUCACGCUGAACUAUUAAUCUGGGACAGCAGGGAUGACGGCUCUGCACCCUUCAUCCUGAAGAACAGCUGUCCUCCAGUGAAGGAUGAAGAGCAGGAGCUGGGGAGGCCCAUGUUGACCAUCUUUCCUUCAAAGCAUCAAGUGCAGAGCUAUGCCACGUUGUCCGUCUCUGCCCCUGCUGUCCUCACCAACUGGACCUUUGUAGACAGGAAGGAGACAAGCGAUGGAGCAGCUUUCCACUUCCUGCUUUAUAAACACAGUGAGCAGAAGGACAUGCUGAAGGAGACAGGACUUACAAUACUCUGUAGUCAACAUGGAAUGUCCCUGUUGUGUUUAAUAAAUACAUCUAAUUCA